RNAcentral lists this ribosomal RNA (471 nucleotides) under uncultured bacterium. RNAcentral's name for it is "partial 16S ribosomal RNA". It matches the Rfam family "Bacterial small subunit ribosomal RNA", at positions 28 to 523 of the family's 1533-position model. The record is from RNAcentral.
GACGAACGCUGGCGGUGUGCUUAAUACAUGCAAGUCGAACGAUGAGGCCCUUCGGGGUACAUCAGUGGCGGACGGCUGAGUAACGCGUAGAUAACGUGCCCUGGACUUGGGGAUAACACCGGGAAACCGGUGCUAAUACCGCAUAAGCCUGUGGUUGAAAUACCAUUGAUUACAGAAUUUCGGUUCAGGAUCGGUCUGCGUCUGAUUAGCUUGUUGGUGAGGUAAAGGCUCACCAAGGCAAUGAUCAGUGGUUGGUCUGGGAGGAUGACCAGCCAGAGUGGGACUGAGACACGGCCCACACUUCUACGGAAGGCAGCAGUAGGGAAUUUUGCGCAAUGGGCGAAAGCCUGACGCAGCAACACCGCGUGCGGGAUGACGGUCUUCGGAUUGUAAACCGCUGUCAGCAGGGAAUAAUAAUGACUGUACCUGCAAAGGAAGCAUCGGCUAACUACGUGCCAGCAGCCGCCGUAA